GAUUAGAUAUUUUAAAUAAAAAGUAAGUUUUGUAAACUUAAAUUGGAUUAAACUCCUCUAAUCU
RNAcentral lists this transfer RNA (64 nucleotides) under Bothriometopus macrocnemis. Its description in RNAcentral is "tRNA-Thr". Lineage: Eukaryota; Metazoa; Arthropoda; Insecta; Psocodea; Philopteridae. The record is from RNAcentral.